ACGGGUGAGUAAUGCUUAUCUUACCUGCCAUUUAGUGGGGGAUAAAAUUCCGCAUAUUAUGAGUAAUCAUGAAAGGGCUUUCGGGCUCGCUAAUUGAUGGGGAUAAGUCGCAUCAGCCGAUGAACAGUGGGGUAAUGGCCUACUGAGGCAAUGACGCGUAGCCAGUCUGAGAGGAUGAAUGGCCACAAAGGAACUGAGACACGGUCCUUACUCCUAUUGAGGAGGCAGCAGUGGGGAAUAUUUUGCAAUGGGGGAAACCCUGACAGAGCAAUACUACGUGAAGGAGGAAGGUCUACGGAUUGUAAACUUCUUUACUUAAAUGUACUAGCCGCAAGGUUUUGCAUUUGAGCAAAAAGCGACGACUAACUAUGUGCCAGCAGUCGCGGUAAGACAUAGGUCGCGAACGUUAUCCGGAAUUAUUGGGCGUAAAGGAUGCGUAGAUGGUUCAGUAAGUUACUGGUGGGAAAUCGAGGCCCAACCUCGUGGAAGUCAGUAAUACUGUUUUGCUUGAGUGCAGAAGAGGUUAACGGAACUCCAUGUGGAGCGGUAAAAUGCGUAGAUAUAUGGAAGAACAUCAAUAACGGCGAAGGCAGUUAACUAUUCUGUUACUGACAUUGAGGCACGAAAGCGUGGGGAGCAAAACGGAUUAGAUACCCGUGUAGUCCACGCCCUAAACGAUGAGUACUAGAUAUUGGGAACUUGAUUCUCAGUGUCGCUAGGUAACCCGGUAAGUACUCCGCCUGGGUAGUACGCUCGCAAGAGUGAAACUCAAAGGAAUUGACGGGGACUCGCACAAGCAGUGGAGCAUGUGGUUUAAUCCGAUACAACGCGUAGAACCUUACCAAGGCUUGACAUGUUGGGCAAAGCUGGGGAAACCUAGUGGAGGUUAUCCUAACACAGGUGCUGCAUGGCCGUCGUCAGUUCGUGCCGUGAGGUGUAUGGUUAAGUCCUAUAACGAACGCAACCCUUGGGCUUAGUUACCAGCAUUCAGUUGGGGACUCUAAGCCGACUGCCUGAGCAAUCAGGAGGAAGGAAAGGAUGACGUCUGGUCGUC
RNAcentral lists this ribosomal RNA (1054 nucleotides) under uncultured bacterium. Its description in RNAcentral is "bacterial SSU rRNA". It matches the Rfam family "Bacterial small subunit ribosomal RNA", at positions 102 to 1194 of the family's 1533-position model. The record is from RNAcentral.